AGUGAACGCUGGCGGUAGGCCUAACACAUGGAAGUCGAACGGCAGCACAGUAAGAGCUUGCUCUUACGGGUGGCGAGUGGCGGACGGGUGAGGAAUACAUCGGAAUCUACUUUUUCGUGGGGGAUAACGUAGGGAAACUUACGCUAAUACCGCAUACGACCUACGGGUGAAAGCAGGGGAUCUUCGGACCUUGCGCGAUUGAAUGAGCCGAUGUCGGAUUAGCUAGUUGGCGGGGUAAAGGCCCACCAAGGCGACGAUCCGUAGCUGGUCUGAGAGGAUGAUCAGCCACACUGGAACUGAGACACGGUCCAGACUCCUACGGGAGGCAGCAGUGGGGAAUAUUGGACAAUGGGCGCAAGCCUGAUCCAGCCAUACCGCGUGGGUGAAGAAGGCCUUCGGGUUGUAAAGCCCUUUUGUCGGGAAAGAAAAGCAGCAGGUUAAUACCCCGCUGUUCUGACGGUACCCAAAGAAUAAGCACCGGCUAACUUCGUG
This 492-nucleotide ribosomal RNA is filed under the name uncultured bacterium. RNAcentral's name for it is "partial 16S ribosomal RNA". It matches the Rfam family "Bacterial small subunit ribosomal RNA", at positions 29 to 507 of the family's 1533-position model. The record is from RNAcentral.